AGAGUUUGAUCCUGGCUCAGGAUGAACGCUGGCGGUCUGCUUAACACAUGCAAGUCGAACGAAUCCCUUCGGGGAUGAGUGGCGGACGGGUGAGUAACGCGUGAGAAUCUGCCUUUUGGUCGGGGACAACCACUGGAAACGGUGGCUAAUACCGGAUAAGCCUGCGGGUAAAAGAUUAAUUGCCAAGAGAGGAGCUCGCGUCUGAUUAGCUAGUUGGUGAGGUAAAGGCUCACCAAGGCGGCGAUCAGUAGCUGGUCUGAGAGGAUGAUCAGCCACACUGGGACUGAGACACGGCCCAGACUCCUACGGGAGGCAGCAGUGGGGAAUUUUUCGCAAUGGGCGAAAGCCUGACGGAGCAAGACCGCGUGAGGGAGGAAGGCUCUUGGGUUGUAAACCUCUUUUGUCAGGGAAGAACACAAUGACGGUACCUGAAGAAUCAGCAUCGGCUAACUCCGUGCCAGCAGCCGCGGUAAUACGGAGGAUGCAAGCGUUAUCCGGAAUUAUUGGGCGUAAAGCGUCCGCAGGUGGCACUUCAAGUCUGCUGUCAAAGACCGGGGCUUAACCCUGGAAAGGCAGUGGAAACUGAAGCGCUAGAGUGUGGCAGGGGUAGAGGGAAUUCCCGGUGUAGCGGUGAAAUGCGUAGAGAUCGGGAAGAACAUCGGUGGCGAAAGCGCUCUACUGGGCCACAACUGACACUCAGGGACGAAAGCUAGGGGAGCGAAUGGGAUUAGAUACCCUAGUAGUCC
This 746-nucleotide ribosomal RNA is filed under the name uncultured bacterium. RNAcentral describes it as "bacterial SSU rRNA". It matches the Rfam family "Bacterial small subunit ribosomal RNA", at positions 8 to 796 of the family's 1533-position model. The record is from RNAcentral.